Molecule: ribosomal RNA, 440 nt
Filed under: uncultured bacterium
Lineage: Bacteria
Description: partial 16S ribosomal RNA
Rfam family: Bacterial small subunit ribosomal RNA
Source: RNAcentral
CCUACGGGAGGCAGCAGUGGGGAAUAUUGCACAAUGGGGGAAACCCUGAUGCAGCAACGCCGCGUGAGUGAUGACGGCCUUCGGGUUGUAAAGCUCUGUCUUCAGGGACGAUAAUGACGGUACCUGAGGAGGAAGCCACGGCUAACUACGUGCCAGCAGCCGCGGUAAUACGUAGGUGGCGAGCGUUGUCCGGAUUUACUGGGCGUAAAGGGAGCGUAGGCGGACUUUUAAGUGAGAUGUGAAAUACUCGGGCUCAACUUGAGUGCUGCAUUUCAAACUGGAAGUCUAGAGUGCAGGAGAGGAGAAUGGAAUUCCUAGUGUAGCGGUGAAAUGCGUAGAGAUUAGGAAGAACACCAGUGGCGAAGGCGAUUCUCUGGACUGUAACUGACGCUGAGGCUCGAAAGCGUGGGGAGCAAACAGGAUUAGAUACCCCAGUAGUC